Molecule: ribosomal RNA, 703 nt
Filed under: Bacillus cereus
Lineage: Bacteria; Bacillati; Bacillota; Bacilli; Caryophanales; Bacillaceae
Description: bacterial SSU rRNA
Rfam family: Bacterial small subunit ribosomal RNA
Source: RNAcentral
AACGCUGGCGGCGUGCCUAAUACAUGCAAGUCGAGCGAAUGGAUUAAGAGCUUGCUCUUAUGAAGUUAGCGGCGGACGGGUGAGUAACACGUGGGUAACCUGCCCAUAAGACUGGGAUAACUCCGGGAAACCGGGGCUAAUACCGGAUAACAUUUUGAACUGCAUGGUUCGAAAUUGAAAGGCGGCUUCGGCUGUCACUUAUGGAUGGACCCGCGUCGCAUUAGCUAGUUGGUGAGGUAACGGCUCACCAAGGCAACGAUGCGUAGCCGACCUGAGAGGGUGAUCGGCCACACUGGGACUGAGACACGGCCCAGACUCCUACGGGAGGCAGCAGUAGGGAAUCUUCCGCAAUGGACGAAAGUCUGACGGAGCAACGCCGCGUGAGUGAUGAAGGCUUUCGGGUCGUAAAACUCUGUUGUUAGGGAAGAACAAGUGCUAGUUGAAUAAGCUGGCACCUUGACGGUACCUAACCAGAAAGCCACGGCUAACUACGUGCCAGCAGCCGCGGUAAUACGUAGGUGGCAAGCGUUAUCCGGAAUUAUUGGGCGUAAAGCGCGCGCAGGUGGUUUCUUAAGUCUGAUGUGAAAGCCCACGGCUCAACCGUGGAGGGUCAUUGGANACUGGGAGACUUGAGUGCAGAAGAGGANAGUGGAAUUCCAUGUGUAGCGGUGAAAUGCGUAGAGAUAUGGAGGAACACCAGUGG